Molecule: long non-coding RNA, 147 nt
Organism: Lepidothrix coronata (blue-crowned manakin)
Lineage: Eukaryota; Metazoa; Chordata; Aves; Passeriformes; Pipridae
Exons: 3
Source: RefSeq, a predicted model, not a curated record
UCAGAGUUCAACAGUCCCCCUCUCUCUGGAGGGCACAACACGCAGGUAACAACACGGUGCUUGGCUUCUAUUACUCGGCGGUGCUCGGGUCUGCGCGGCUCGGCGGUCUCACGCAAAAUUAAAGCUAAACAAACACAUAGUUUCCCC